Molecule: long non-coding RNA, 317 nt
Organism: Saccostrea cuccullata (small rock oyster)
Lineage: Eukaryota; Metazoa; Mollusca; Bivalvia; Ostreida; Ostreidae
Exons: 3
Source: RefSeq, a predicted model, not a curated record
AUGACAACAAGGUGAAUUGAGCAGUUGAGCGACACCUAUUUGAAGGGUUUACAAAGUCUUGUGUGCACAUGAUGCAAAGUCCUUGAUGGUGUGUAGGCUGUUUGUCAACAUCUGAAACCCACAUGAAUUUCAGGGAGAUGCUUGUCAGGAGCCAAGACUGAAAAAAAGACUGAAAAACUGCCUUUAAACACAGACAUUAUUCAUUUCAAUGGACAAACUAGAAACAUCCAAACAAUAUUACAUUAGAAUCAUCAGAGACUGUCAAUUUUUAUCCCUCACUGUGGCAGAAACACCUAAAUAAACAUUGAAAAGAUAAA